UCCCUAUAUAGUGGUACUACUAUAGACCAGAGCCUUAUUCCCUAUAUAGUGGUACUACUAUAGACCAGAGCCCUAUUCCCUAUAUAGUGGUACUACUUUAGACCAGAGCCCUAUUCCCUAUAUAGUGGUACUACUUUAGACCAGAGCCCUACUCCCUAUAUAAUGGCACUACUAUAGACCCCAUUCCCUAUAUAAUGGUACUACUAUAGACCCUAUUCCCUAUAUAGUACACUACUAUAGACCAGAGCCCUAUUCCCUAUAUAGUACACUACUAUAGACCAGAGCCUUAUUCCCUAUAUAGUGGUACUACUUUAGACCAGAGCCCUAUUCCCUAUAUAGUGGUACUACUUUAGACCAGAGCCUUAUUCCCUAUAUAGUGGUACUACUAUAGACCCUAUUCCCUAUAUAGUGGUACUACUAUAGACCCUAUUCCCUAUAUAGUGGUACUACUAUAGACCCUAUUCCCUAUAUAGUGGUACUACUAUAGACCCUAUUCCCUAUAUAGUGGUACUACUAUAGACCCUAUUCCCUAUAUAGUGGUACUACUAUAGACCCUAUUCCCUAUAUAUGGUACUACUAUAGACCCUAUUCCCUAUAUAGUGGUACUACUAUAGACCCUAUUCCCUAUAUAGUUGUACUACUAUAGACCCUAUUCCCUAGAUAGUGGUACUACUAUAGACCCUAUUCCCUAGAUAGUGGUACUACUAUAGACCCUAUUCCCUAUAUAGUGGUACUACUAUAGACCCUAUUCCCUAGAUAGUGCUCCUGGCCUGCUGGAUGCCUUUGAGAGUUUAAAAGGUCCAUUGCAGCCAUUUUGUUUUUUGUCUCAAUAUCAAAUCGUUUCUGGGUAACAUUUAAGUACCUCAUGGUGAUUGUUUUCAAUUAAAAUGUUCAAAAAUAAAUAAAUAAUUCUUAGCAAAGAGCAAUUUCUCAAGCAAGACUUUAGCUGGAGCUGUCUGGGAGGGGUCUCCGUGGGGAGAGAAAAGUGACAACUUUUAUUAGCUUUUUAUUAAAAAUGUUAUGUCCCUGAGUCCAACGUGAAGGAAGUUAGAGGUAGUUUUGUGAGCCGAUGCUAACUAGCAUUAGCGCAAUGUCUGUAAGUCUAUGAGUAUCUGCUAGCAUUCUAGUAGGUGUAAUAACUGGAAGUCUAUGGGUAUCUGCUAGAAUGUGAUCCAAUCCCCAUAGACUUCCAGUCAUUACACCUACUAGAAUGCUAGCUGUUCCCAUAGACGUCCAGUCAUUGCGCUAAUGCUAGUUAGCAACUUCUUUCAAACUGCACACAGACAUAUAAAAAAUGGUAUCCGCGAGACUCUGGGGAAAUAGAUAAUAUCCUGUAAGUGUCCCUUUAAAAAUGCCCCUUAUAGGCUUCAUAGUGUCUCUUAAACUCUGUAGGUUUAAGAGAAGAGGAUUCAGUGAGGGUGACAACAACACAAAGAUGUCUCAGGUCCCGUUAAAAAAAAAAAUCCUUCUGUUCUAAACAGCAGUAAAUGGCUUGUUGUUAUCCUUCACAGGGUGGUCGUUGAGAAAGUAGAGGUUCAUACAGGAAUCUGUCCAUGUUCAGAUCAGAGACGUUGUGAGACCAGAGACGUUAUGAGACCAGAGACGUUAUGAGACCAGAGACGUUAUGAGACCAGAGACGUUAUGAGACCAGAGACGUUAUGAGACCAGAGACGUUAUGAGAUCAGAGACGUUAUGAGACCAGAGACGUUAUGAGACCAGAGACGUUAUGAGACCAGAGACGUUAUGAGACCAGAGACGUUAUGAGACCAGAGACGUUAUGAGACCAGAGACGUUAUGAGACCAGAGACGUUAUGAGACCAGAGACGUUGUGAGACCAGAGACGUUGUGAGACCAGAGACGUUGUGAGACCAGAGACGUUGUGAGACCAGAGACGUUAUGAGAUCAGAGACGUUAUGAGAUCAGAGACGUUAUGAGACCAGAGACGUUAUGAGACCAGAGACGUUAUGAGACCAGAGACGUUAUGAGACCAGACACGUUAUGAGACCACAGACGUUAUGAGACCAGAGACGUCAUGAGACCAGAGACGUCAUGAGACCAGAGACGUUAUGAGACCAGAGACGUUAUGAGACCACAGACGUUAUGAGACCACAGGCGUUAUGAGACCAGAGACGUUAUGAGACCAGAGACGUUAUGAGACCAGAGACGUUAUGAGACCAGAGACGUUAUGAGACCAGAGACGUUGUGAGACCAGAGACGUUAUGAGACCAGAGACGUUGUGAGACCAGAGACGUUAUGAGACCAGAGACGUUAUGAGACCAGAGACGUUAUGAGACCAGAGACGUUAUGAGACCAGAGAUAGGCUGAGAGGUUAAUGAAAGAGCAGCAUUAAGUGGGAGGAAUUACAGAAACCCCC
Long non-coding RNA from Oncorhynchus tshawytscha (Chinook salmon), 2374 nucleotides. The record is from Ensembl. NCBI's taxonomy places the organism in Eukaryota, Metazoa, Chordata, Actinopteri, Salmoniformes, Salmonidae.